GAAGCGAAACAGCGAAAACGGGGCUUUUUCACGCAAACACACACAGGUUUCGCUGAACCUGUGUGUUUUCAGGAGAAGAACUACUUAACGUGAGAUCUGCACUUUUACCUGGAUGAAGUUGAAAGCAGCUGAAGUGUUAUGUUGAAACACUGCAGUAAUAUUCAAUGUCCAUAUAGGCAAUACAGCGCUUUUCUGGCUAGGGACUGACAUGACAGCAGGACCAGUAAAUUCAGAUGUCCGUCCAGUUGUGGCUUGCUGAAGGACACAUCGACCGCCUGAUUGG
Molecule: long non-coding RNA, 283 nt
Organism: Pseudophryne corroboree (corroboree frog)
Lineage: Eukaryota; Metazoa; Chordata; Amphibia; Anura; Myobatrachidae
Exons: 3
Source: RefSeq, a predicted model, not a curated record